CAGUGUCUUGAAGUGUAAAGCAGUGAACAGAAAGCUUCUGACAUCUACAAGCCAACUGAUAGCAGGCGUGAAAGCUGCUCUCUGGACCUCUGUGCUGUUCAAGGUAAAAGGUGGGGAAGAGCUGGUGUUAGGGAGACUGCAUCCUCCGAGUUGAGGGCAGAGGCUUUUGUUUAAUCAAAGAGAAUUUAGGAAUUUGGUUCUUCAGAAAUCUGGCUGUUUUGUUUGUUCAGGGAUGAUUUGAGCAUUGGAGUAAUCUUGAAAUUUAUGGAACGCAUUCUUAUGUCCCCUCUCUGAGAAUCCUGGGGUCAGAUGCUGCAGAGGAAAGUACC
RNAcentral lists this long non-coding RNA (329 nucleotides) under Dromaius novaehollandiae (emu). RNAcentral's name for it is "lncRNA (ENSDNVG00000003665.1)". The record is from RNAcentral. Lineage: Eukaryota; Metazoa; Chordata; Aves; Casuariiformes; Dromaiidae.